This 312-nucleotide unclassified non-coding RNA is filed under the name air metagenome. RNAcentral's name for it is "partial contains small subunit ribosomal RNA, internal transcribed spacer 1, and 5.8S ribosomal RNA". The stretch from base 1 to 46 matches the Rfam family "Eukaryotic small subunit ribosomal RNA", at positions 1786 to 1831 of the family's 1831-position model. The record is from RNAcentral.
AAGUCGUAACAAGGUUUCCGUAGGUGAACCUGCGGAAGGAUCAUUAUUGAAACUUCUUUGGAAGUAGUACUGUUGCUGGCCUUGUAAUGAGGUAUGUGCACGUACUACUUCUAAUCUAUUCAUCCACCUGUGCACUUAUUGUAGGGGUUUUUUGAGGUUAGCUUGUUUGUAGGCUUCGGCUUAUGCAGGUUGACUUUAAAAAGGCUUCUAUGUCUUACAAACCUAUUGAAGUAUGUUUUAGAAUGACAUUUAUUGGGACUUUACUGGCCCUUUAAACUUAUACAACUUUUAGCAACGGAUCUCUUGGCUCUC